CAAUUUGUUUUUCCCUCCCUCCUUAUGUGUAUUUGUGUGGGGCCCAGUCUCAAGGCUCAAGACCACUUGCACCAGCAGCAUGCAUCAGCAAGAUAGCAGAAGCAGGAAGAGAGCUGGCCGGAAGACACAUACCCUCUGAAGACCAAGAGAGAGGCCGUCCGGGUACUGCGUCGCAGUUACAUCAGAUUGAGACACUUCCUGUUUACAGGAGACUAUAAAGCCCCUGCCCCGACACCUUUUGGUGCUGAUGCCAUUUUAGGCCUCAGCCCGUCUGCACCCAG
RNAcentral lists this long non-coding RNA (281 nucleotides) under Homo sapiens (human). RNAcentral's name for it is "HSALNT0139373". Lineage: Eukaryota; Metazoa; Chordata; Mammalia; Primates; Hominidae. The record is from RNAcentral.